RNAcentral lists this ribosomal RNA (122 nucleotides) under Schizosaccharomyces cryophilus. Lineage: Eukaryota; Fungi; Ascomycota; Schizosaccharomycetes; Schizosaccharomycetales; Schizosaccharomycetaceae. The record is from RNAcentral.
GUCUACGGCCACACCUAGGCGAAAACACCAGUUCCCGUCCGAUCACUGCAGUUAAGCGUCUGAGGGCCUCGUUAGUACUAUGGUUGGAGACAACAUGGGAAUCCGGGGUGCUGUAGGCUCAC